Molecule: ribosomal RNA, 453 nt
Filed under: uncultured organism
Description: partial 16S ribosomal RNA
Rfam family: Bacterial small subunit ribosomal RNA
Source: RNAcentral
CGUACACUCCUGCGGGAGGCAGCAGUGGGGAAUAUUGGACAUUGGGCGCAAGCCUGAUCCAGCCAUGCCGCGUGAGUGAUGAAGGCCCUAGGGUUGUAAAGCUCUUUCACCGGUGAAGAUAAUGACGGUAACCGGAGAAGAAGCCCCGGCUAACUUCGUGCCAGCAGCCGCGGUAAUACGAAGGGGCCUAGCGUUGUUCGGAUUUACUGGGCGUAAAGCGCACGUAGGCGGACUAUUAAGUCAGGGGUGAAAUCCCGGGGCUCAACCCCGGAACUGCCUUUGAUACUGGUAGUCUUGAGUUCGAGAGAGGUGAGUGGAAUUCCGAGUGUAGAGGUGAAAUUCGUAGAUAUUCGGAGGAACACCAGUGGCGAAGGCGGCUCACUGGCUCGAUACUGACGCUGAGGUGCGAAAGCGUGGGGAGCAAACAGGAUUAGAAACCCGAGUAGUCCCAUG